RNAcentral lists this ribosomal RNA (432 nucleotides) under uncultured bacterium. RNAcentral's name for it is "partial 16S ribosomal RNA". It matches the Rfam family "Bacterial small subunit ribosomal RNA", at positions 29 to 506 of the family's 1533-position model. The record is from RNAcentral.
AACGAACGCUGGCGGCAGGCUUAACACAUGCAAGUCGAACGGAUCCUUCGGGAUUAGUGGCAGACGGGUGAGUAACGCGUGGGAACGUACCCUUUGCUACGGAAUAACUCAGGGAAACUUGAGCUAAUACCGUAUGUGCCCUACGGGGGAAAGAUUUAUCGGCAAAGGAUCGGCCCGCGUUGGAUUAGCUAGUUGGUGGGGUAAUGGCCUACCAAGGCGACGAUCCAUAGCUGGUCUGAGAGGAUGAUCAGCCACACUGGGACUGAGACACGGCCCAGACUCCUACGGGAGGCAGCAGUGGGGAAUAUUGGACAAUGGGCGCAAGCCUGAGCCAGCCGUGCCGCGUGAGUGAUGAAGGUCUUAGGAUUGUAAAGCUCUUUCACCGGUGAAGAUAAGGCCGGUAGCCGGAGAAGAAGCCCCGGCUAACUUCGU